RNAcentral lists this ribosomal RNA (253 nucleotides) under uncultured bacterium. RNAcentral's name for it is "partial 16S ribosomal RNA". It matches the Rfam family "Bacterial small subunit ribosomal RNA", at positions 524 to 776 of the family's 1533-position model. The record is from RNAcentral.
UACGUAGGGAGCAAACGUUGUCCGGAAUCAUUGGGCGUAAAGCGCGCGUAGGCGGCCUCAUAAGUCCGUUGUGAAAGUCAAAGGCUCAACCUUUGAAAGCCGAUGGAUACUGUGAGGCUAGAGUCCGGAAGAGGCGAGUGGAAUUCCUGGUGUAGCGGUGAAAUGCGUAGAGAUCAGGAAGAACAUCGGUGGCGAAGGCGCUCUGCUGGACCAUAACUGACACUCAGGGACGAAAGCUAGGGGAGCGAAUGGG